GGCCUUUUGAUGAUAAUUUAAGGUCUGGCCUGCCCAAUGAUAGAAUAUUAAAUGGCCGCGGUAUUUUGACCGUGCAAAGGUAGCAUAAUCAUUAGUUCUUUAAUUGAGAGCUUGAAUGAAAGGUUUGAUGAGAAAAGAGCUGUCUCUAUUUAAAUUUUUUAGAAAUUUAUUUUUAAGUUAAAAAGCUUAAAUUAGUGUUAAAGACGAGAAGACCCUAUAGAGUUUUAUAAUUUUAUGAUACUAUUAUGUUUUAGGAUUUUCUAAUAAUUUUUUAUAAUUAUUUAGUUGGGGUGAUUAAAAAAUUAGCUAAACUUUUUUAUGUAAUUUUUCAUUGAUUUAUGAAUUUUUGAUCCUUUAGAAAGAUUAAUAGAUAAAAUUACCUUAGGGAUAACAGCGUAAUUUUUUUUAGAGUUCUUAUCGAAAGAAAAGAUUGCGACCUCGAUGUUGGAUUAAAAUAGAUUAUUGGUGCAAGAGCUAAUAAGGCAGGUCUGUUCGACCUUUAAAUUUUUACAUGAUCUGAGUUUAAACCGGUGUGAG
RNAcentral lists this ribosomal RNA (537 nucleotides) under Echinodera spinosa. RNAcentral's name for it is "partial 16S ribosomal RNA". It matches the Rfam family "Bacterial large subunit ribosomal RNA", at positions 1819 to 2625 of the family's 2925-position model. The record is from RNAcentral. Lineage: Eukaryota; Metazoa; Arthropoda; Insecta; Coleoptera; Curculionidae.